RNAcentral lists this long non-coding RNA (917 nucleotides) under Cairina moschata (Muscovy duck). RNAcentral's name for it is "domestica (muscovy Duck (domestic type)) lncRNA (ENSCMMG00000006539.1)". The record is from RNAcentral. Lineage: Eukaryota; Metazoa; Chordata; Aves; Anseriformes; Anatidae.
UCAGUUAAAUCCAGCAAGGAUUGUGAGUCAGAGCCUCUGUAUUCAUAACAAAUGAGCUCAAACAAAGCGAAACACUGCUUCUCAAAUUAAGCCUAUGCACGCAAGGUGCAAACCAGAGCUGAGCAGGGGCUCAUGGCUUCCAAGAACAAGCCAAGCUCAGCAGCCGUGGCAGGAAGUCUGUGAGAGCCACACCGCAGCAGAUCCACUGCCAGGAGAAACCAAGCUGUGGAACCAUUGUCCAGUGUCAUCUAAUCCAUGGAAGGACCUGGAGGAUCAUCCUGCCCUGACACUGAGACAUGCAAAUGAACUGGAGCUCUUCUGGGAAUGUCUGGCAGGCUCUGCAAUGAAGCAGGAUGAAGAAGGUGGACAAGCCUACUGAAUGAGCUGAGCCUCAACCAAGUCCUUGACAGAGCGCCCCAGGUCUGAUAAAUAUCCUAAAUGACUCCUUCCCCGUGGAUGGCCAUCACAGACUAGAAAGGCAAUGGCACAACACAAUAUCUGGUGUAAACCUCCUGCUGUGUGUUUAACUAUCCUAACCCCAAUGAGCUUCAGUCCUUUUUUGUGGACUCCCAACCACCUCCUGUAAGAGGAUGGAGUCAAUGAACCACACCCGCUACAACAUUUUAACCAUCUAGCCUUUCCUUUCCAUCCCUGCAGCCAAACCACUUACACACACCUAAUCGCUGCUCUCUCAGCUACUGCAGUCUUCCUCACAGGACAGUUUUCUCUUUUCAUGGGACUUUCAGGACAUUGCUGACAAAAUCAUACCUCUUAUGCUUGCUGUGGCAUUUAUUGGCCUGUUUCCUCAUUGUUCUCUGAAGAGGUCUGAUGUCCUAGUUUUGAAGACCUUCUGCUGUGCAGCUCUUCUCACUAAAUCUAACAUAGUCUCUCUGCCUUGUUCUUUCCACUCAGUCACU